Molecule: ribosomal RNA, 253 nt
Filed under: uncultured bacterium
Lineage: Bacteria
Description: partial 16S ribosomal RNA
Rfam family: Bacterial small subunit ribosomal RNA
Source: RNAcentral
UACAGAGGGUGCGAGCGUUAAUCGGAAUUACUGGGCGUAAAGGGCUCGUAGGCGGCCAACUAAGUCAGACGUGAAAUCCCUCGGCUUAACCGGGGAACUGCGUCUGAUACUGGAUGGCUUGAGUUUGGGAGAGGGAUGCGGAAUUCCAGGUGUAGCGGUGAAAUGCGCAGAUAUCAGGAAGAACACCAAUGGCGAAAGCAGCUCUCUGGGACGGUACUGACGCUGAGACGCGAAAGCGUGGGGAGCGAACAGG